AGGACGAACGCUGGCGGCGUGCUUAACACAUGCAAGUCGAGCGGAAAGGCCCUUCGGGGUACUCGAGCGGCGAACGGGUGAGUAACACGUGAGUAAUCUGCCCCUAGCUCUGGGAUAGCUCCGGGAAACCGGGAUUAAUACCAGAUACGACCACUUUAGACAUCUGCUGUGGUGGAAAGAAUUUCGGCUGGGGAUGGACUCGCGGCCUAUCAGCUUGUUGGUGGGGUAAUGGCCUACCAAGGCGACGACGGGUA
Molecule: ribosomal RNA, 254 nt
Filed under: uncultured bacterium
Lineage: Bacteria
Description: partial small subunit ribosomal RNA
Rfam family: Bacterial small subunit ribosomal RNA
Source: RNAcentral